This 519-nucleotide ribosomal RNA is filed under the name uncultured bacterium. RNAcentral's name for it is "bacterial SSU rRNA". It matches the Rfam family "Bacterial small subunit ribosomal RNA", at positions 991 to 1509 of the family's 1533-position model. The record is from RNAcentral.
GAGAACUUUCCAGAGAUGGAUUGGUGGCCUUCGGGAACUCUGAGACAGGUGCUGCAUGGCUGUCGUCAGCUCGUGUUGUGAAAUGUUGGGUUAAGUCCCGCAACGAGCGCAACCCUUAUCCUUUGUUGCCAGCGGUUAGGCCGGGAACUCAAAGGAGACUGCCAGUGAUAAACUGGAGGAAGGUGGGGAUGACGUCAAGUCAUCAUGGCCCUUACGAGUAGGGCUACACACGUGCUACAAUGGCGCAUACAAAGAGAAGCGACCUCGCGAGAGCAAGCGGACCUCAUAAAGUGCGUCGUAGUCCGGAUUGGAGUCUGCAACUCGACUCCAUGAAGUCGGAAUCGCUAGUAAUCGUGGAUCAGAAUGCCACGGUGAAUACGUUCCCGGGCCUUGUACACACCGCCCGUCACACCAUGGGAGUGGGUUGCAAAAGAAGUAGGUAGCUUAACCUUCGGGAGGGCGCUUACCACUUUGUGAUUCAUGACUGGGGUGAAGUCGUAACAAGGUAAGCGUAGUGCU